RNAcentral lists this ribosomal RNA (458 nucleotides) under uncultured bacterium. RNAcentral describes it as "partial 16S ribosomal RNA". It matches the Rfam family "Bacterial small subunit ribosomal RNA", at positions 338 to 795 of the family's 1533-position model. The record is from RNAcentral.
CCUACGGGAGGCAGCAGUGAGGAAUAUUGGUCAAUGGGCGAGAGCCUGAACCAGCCAAGUCGCGUGAGGGAGUACUGCCCUAUGGGUUGUAAACCUCUUUUGUCGGGGAGCAAAAGCCGGACGUGUCCGGCUGUGAGAGUACCCGAAGAAAAAGCAUCGGCUAACUCCGUGCCAGCAGCCGCGGUAAUACGGGGGAUGCGCGCGUUAUCCGGAUUUAUUGGGGUUAAAGGGUGCGCAGGCGGAUUUUUAAGUCAGCGGUCAAAUCGUGGGGCUCAACCCCAUCCAGCCGUUGAAACUGGGGAUCUAGAGUGUGCGAGAGGUAUGCGGAAUGCGUGGUGUAGCGGUGAAAUGCAUAGAUAUCACGCAGAACCCCGAUUGCGAAGGCAGCAUACCGGUGCACAACUGACGCUCAGGCACGAAAGCGUGGGUAUCGAACAGGAUUAGAUACCCGGGUAGUC